CACACAGACACCAUGACUUUCAUCACCAUCUUCAUCUGGACACUGACCUGCUGCUGUUUUAAAGAGUCCAGAGGACAGGUGACAGUGACUCAGACUCCUGUAGUGAAAUCUGCUCUUCCAGGACAAACAAUUACCAUCAACUGUGGAAUGAACAUUGCUGUGGAUAACGACUGUGGUUCCAGUAAAUCGUACUACUGUGUCUACUGGUUUAAAGUGAAACCGGGUCAGGCUCCCAAACGCCUGAUUUACUAUGCAAAUCAGUUACAGUCAGGAAUUCCAGAUCGUUUCAGUGGCAGUGGAUCCGGGACUGACUUCACUCUGACCAUCAGAGGAGUCCAGACUGAAGAUGCAGGAGAUUAUUACUGUCUGACAGAUCAUUACAACACAUAUAAAAAAUCGCUCUUCACACAGUGA
Non-coding RNA from Chanos chanos (milkfish), 414 nucleotides. The record is from the annotation of a RefSeq genome assembly. NCBI's taxonomy places the organism in Eukaryota, Metazoa, Chordata, Actinopteri, Gonorynchiformes, Chanidae.